Molecule: ribosomal RNA, 495 nt
Filed under: uncultured bacterium
Lineage: Bacteria
Description: partial 16S ribosomal RNA
Rfam family: Bacterial small subunit ribosomal RNA
Source: RNAcentral
UCCUCCCUCUGGCGGCGUGCCUAAUACAUGCAAGUAGAACGCUGAAGGAGGAGCUUGCUUCUCCGGAUGAGUUGCGAACGGGUGAGUAACGCGUAGGUAACCUGCCUGGUAGCGGGGGAUAACUAUUGGAAACGAUAGCUAAUACCGCAUAACAGUAGAUGUUGCAUGACAUUUGCUUAAAAGGUGCAAUUGCAUCACUACCAGAUGGACCUGCGUUGUAUUAGCUAGUUGGUGAGGUAACGGCUCACCAAGGCGACGAUACAUAGCCGACCUGAGAGGGGGAUCGGCCACACUGGGACUGAGACACGGCCCAGACUCCUACGGGAGGCAGCAGUAGGGAAUCUUCGGCAAUGGACGGAAGUCUGACCGAGCAACGCCGCGUGAGUGAAGAAGGUUUUCGGAUCGUAAAGCUCUGUUGUAAGAGAAGAACGAGUGUGAGAGUGGAAAGUUCACACUGUGACGGUAGCUUACCAGAAAGGGACGGCUAACUACGUG